This 301-nucleotide ribosomal RNA is filed under the name uncultured bacterium. Its description in RNAcentral is "partial 16S ribosomal RNA". It matches the Rfam family "Bacterial small subunit ribosomal RNA", at positions 509 to 807 of the family's 1533-position model. The record is from RNAcentral.
CAGUAGCCGCGGGAAUACAGAGGGUGCAAGCGUUAAUCGGAAUUACUGGGCGUAAAGCGCGCGUAGGUGGUUUGUUAAGUUGGAUGUGAAAUCCCCGGGCUCAACCUGGGAACUGCAUCCAAAACUGGCAAGCUAGAGUAUGGUAGAGGGUGGUGGAAUUUCCUGUGUAGCGGUGAAAUGCGUAGAUAUAGGAAGGAACAUCAGUGGCGAAGGCGACCACCUGGACUGAUACUGACACUGAGGUGCGAAAUCGUGGGGAGCAAACAGGAUUAGAUACCCCUGUAGUCCCUGUCUCUUAUAC